ACCGUGGUAAGAGCUUCAAAAAAAUUUAACUGUGAAAAUUGAAUUUAUUUGAAUUCCCACCUCUCAAUCAUGAUAGAUCUAUACUCUUUCUUUCAUAUAAACAGAUCCAAAGGGAUCCUAGAGAACGAACUCCUCAAAAGAAAAAACUUCUAUAAUUCAAGACUCUCAUAAUGAGAGGCUUUCAAGUCCUCAUCUAUCAUUUUACUCUUUUUUCUUG
RNAcentral lists this long non-coding RNA (217 nucleotides) under Elaeis guineensis (African oil palm). RNAcentral's name for it is "long non-coding RNA (EGUI_LNC002180)". Lineage: Eukaryota; Viridiplantae; Streptophyta; Magnoliopsida; Arecales; Arecaceae. The record is from RNAcentral.